RNAcentral lists this ribosomal RNA (1326 nucleotides) under Triticum aestivum (bread wheat). Its description in RNAcentral is "partial small subunit ribosomal RNA". The record is from RNAcentral. Lineage: Eukaryota; Viridiplantae; Streptophyta; Magnoliopsida; Poales; Poaceae.
AUGGCCUCUGCUGCUGCUAGUGCUACCGGCAGCAAGAAGACGAUGCUGCGCGUCCUCAUCUUCCCCUUCUUCGCCACCAGCCACAUCGAGCCCUUCACCGACCUCGCCGUCCGCCUCGUCGCCGCCGGACCUGCAGUGGAGGCCACCGUCGCCGUCACGCCGGCCAACGUCCCGGUCGUCCAGUCCUUGCUCCGGCGACGUGGGCAGCCCGAGCAUGUCAAGAUAGCCACGUACCCGUUUCCGGCCGUGGACGGACUCCCGGAGGGCGUGGAGAACCUCGGCAGGGCCACGGAGGCCGACUCGUGGCGCAUCGACGCCGCUGCCCUGAGCGAGAAUCUGACGCGCCCGGCGCAGGAGGCGCUCGCCAGGGCGCUGUCUCCGGACGCGGUCGUCACCGACGUGCACUUCGCCUGGAACGUCCGCGUCGCCGGCGAGCUCGGCGUGCCGUGCGUCGCGUUCAGCGCCAUCAGCGCCUUCCCGACGCUCGCCCUGCACCACCUCGAGCGGGAGGACGUCGGCAAUGGCGAUGUGGACGUCGUCACGGUCCCCCAGUUUCCGGGCCCUAGUAUCCGGUACAUGCGCCAUGGCUACGCGAAGCGCGCCUACUUCGUGGGCCCUCUCUUCUCGUCGUCAUCACCAUCCCAUUCCCCGGCCGGCGGCGGCGUGGACGACCAACAGUCACAGUGCAUCGGCUGGCUGGACUCGAAGCCGGACCGUUCCGUGGUGUACCUGUGCUUCGGCAGCCUCACCCACGUCUCCGACGCUCAGCUGCAGCAGCUCGCUCUCGGGCUGGAGGCCGCCGGGAAGCCCUUCCUGUGGGUGGUGAGGGACGCGGGGAACUGGACCCCGCCGGAGGGGUGGUCCGAGCGUGUGGGAGACCGAGGGCUCCUCGUCACGGCGUGGGCCCCGCAGACGGCCAUACUGGGGCACCCGGCCGUCGGCGCGUUCGUGACGCACUGCGGGUGGAACUCCGUCCUGGAGACGGUGAUGGCGGGGGUGCCGGUGCUGACGUGGCCCAUGGUGUUCGAGCAGUUCAUCACCGAGAGGUUGGUGACGGAGGUGCUGGGGAUCGGGGAGCGGCUGUGGCCGUGCGGCGCCGGCCUGCGAAGCACCAGGAACGAGGAGCACGAGGUGGUCCCGGCCGGAGACGUGGCACGUGCGGUGACGGCGUUCAUGCGCCCCGGAGGGGCAAGGGACGCGGCGAGGAGCAGGGUGAUGGACCUCGCCGCCAAGUGUCGUGCCGCCGUGGCGGAAGGGGGCUCCUCGCACCGUGAUCUGCGUCGGCUCGUCGAUGAUCUCAUGGAAGCAAAAGCCAAGAGGAGCUAG